Molecule: ribosomal RNA, 487 nt
Filed under: uncultured bacterium
Lineage: Bacteria
Description: bacterial SSU rRNA
Rfam family: Bacterial small subunit ribosomal RNA
Source: RNAcentral
AUUGAACGCUGGCGGCAUGCCUUACACAUGCAAGUCGAACGGCAGCACGGACUUCGGUCUGGUGGCGAGUGGCGAACGGGUGAGUAAUGUAUCGGAACGUACCUUUCAGUGGGGGAUAACGUAGCGAAAGUUACGCUAAUACCGCAUAUUCUGUGAGCAGGAAAGCAGGGGAUCGCAAGACCUUGCGCUGAUUGAGCGGCCGAUAUCAGAUUAGCUAGUUGGUGGGGUAAAGGCCUACCAAGGCUACGAUCUGUAGCGGGUCUGAGAGGAUGAUCCGCCACACUGGAACUGAGACACGGUCCAGACUCCUACGGGAGGCAGCAGUGGGGAAUUUUGGACAAUGGGGGCAACCCUGAUCCAGCCAUGCCGCGUGAGUGAAGAAGGCCUUCGGGUUGUAAAGCUCUUUCGGUCCGGGAAGAAAUCGCAUAGGCUAAUACCCUGUGUGGAUGACGGUACCGGAAUAAGAAGCACCGGCUAACUACGUGCC